Molecule: ribosomal RNA, 1543 nt
Filed under: Escherichia coli
Lineage: Bacteria; Pseudomonadati; Pseudomonadota; Gammaproteobacteria; Enterobacterales; Enterobacteriaceae
Description: bacterial SSU rRNA
Rfam family: Bacterial small subunit ribosomal RNA
Source: RNAcentral
AAAUUGAAGAGUUUGAUCAUGGCUCAGAUUGAACGCUGGCGGCAGGCCUAACACAUGCAAGUCGAACGGUAACAGGAAGCAGCUUGCUGCUUUGCUGACGAGUGGCGGACGGGUGAGUAAUGUCUGGGAAACUGCCUGAUGGAGGGGGAUAACUACUGGAAACGGUAGCUAAUACCGCAUAACGUCGCAAGACCAAAGAGGGGGACCUUCGGGCCUCUUGCCAUCGGAUGUGCCCAGAUGGGAUUAGCUAGUAGGUGGGGUAACGGCUCACCUAGGCGACGAUCCCUAGCUGGUCUGAGAGGAUGACCAGCCACACUGGAACUGAGACACGGUCCAGACUCCUACGGGAGGCAGCAGUGGGGAAUAUUGCACAAUGGGCGCAAGCCUGAUGCAGCCAUGCCGCGUGUAUGAAGAAGGCCUUCGGGUUGUAAAGUACUUUCAGCGGGGAGGAAGGGAGUAAAGUUAAUACCUUUGCUCAUUGACGUUACCCGCAGAAGAAGCACCGGCUAACUCCGUGCCAGCAGCCGCGGUAAUACGGAGGGUGCAAGCGUUAAUCGGAAUUACUGGGCGUAAAGCGCACGCAGGCGGUUUGUUAAGUCAGAUGUGAAAUCCCCGGGCUCAACCUGGGAACUGCAUCUGAUACUGGCAAGCUUGAGUCUCGUAGAGGGGGGGUAGAAUUCCAGGUGUAGCGGUGAAAUGCGUAGAGAUCUGGAGGAAUACCGGUGGCGAAGGCGGCCCCCUGGACGAAGACUGACGCUCAGGUGCGAAAGCGUGGGGAGCAAACAGGAUUAGAUACCCUGGUAGUCCACGCCGUAAACGAUGUCGACUUGGAGGUUGUGCCCUUGAGGCGUGGCUUCCGGAGCUAACGUGUUAAGUCGACCGCCUGGGGAGUACGGCCGCAAGGUUAAAACUCAAAUGAAUUGACGGGGGCCCGCACAAGCGGUGGAGCAUGUGGUUUAAUUCGAUGCAACGCGAAGAACCUUACCUGGUCUUGACAUCCACGGAAGUUUUCAGAGAUGAGAAUGUGCCUUCGGGAACCGUGAGACAGGUGCUGCAUGGCUGUCGUCAGCUCGUGUUGUGAAAUGUUGGGUUAAGUCCCGCAACGAGCGCAACCCUUAUCCUUUGUUGCCAGCGGUCCGGCCGGGAACUCAAAGGAGACUGCCAGUGAUAAACUGGAGGAAGGUGGGGAUGACGUCAAGUCAUCAUGGCCCUUACGACCAGGGCUACACACGUGCUACAAUGGCGCAUACAAAGAGAAGCGACCUCGCGAGAGCAAGCGGACCUCAUAAAGUGCGUCGUAGUCCGGAUUGGAGUCUGCAACUCGACUCCAUGAAGUCGGAAUCGCUAGUAAUCGUGGAUCAGAAUGCCACGGUGAAUACGUUCCCGGGCCUUGUACACACCGCCCGUCACACCAUGGGAGUGGGUUGCAAAAGAAGUAGGUAGCUUAACCUUCGGGAGGGCGCUUACCACUUUGUGAUUCAUGACUGGGGUGAAGUCGUAACAAGGUAACCGUAGGGGAACCUGCGGUUGGAUCACCUCCUUA